AUUGAACGCUGGCGGCAGGCCUAACACAUGCAAGUCGAGCGGAUGAAGGGAGCUUGCUCCUGGAUUCAGCGGCGGACGGGUGAGUAAUGCCUAGGAAUCUGCCUGGUAGUGGGGGAUAACGUCCGGAAACGGGCGCUAAUACCGCAUACGUCCUGAGGGAGAAAGUGGGGGAUCUUCGGACCUCACGCUAUCAGAUGAGCCUAGGUCGGAUUAGCUAGUUGGUGGGGUAAAGGCCUACCAAGGCGACGAUCCGUAACUGGUCUGAGAGGAUGAUCAGUCACACUGGAAAUGAGACACGGUCCAGACUCCUAGGGGAGGCAGCAGUGGGUAAUAUUGGACACUGGGCGAAAGCCUGAUCCAGCCAUGCCGCGUGUGUGAAGAAGGUCUUCGGAUUGUAAAGCACUUUAAGUUGGGAGGAAGGGCAGUAAGUUAAUACCUUGCUGUUUUGACGUUACCAACAGAAUAAGCACCGGCUAACUUCGU
RNAcentral lists this ribosomal RNA (483 nucleotides) under uncultured bacterium. RNAcentral's name for it is "partial 16S ribosomal RNA". It matches the Rfam family "Bacterial small subunit ribosomal RNA", at positions 30 to 506 of the family's 1533-position model. The record is from RNAcentral.